GGAGUAAUGUCUGGGAAACUGCCCGAUGGAGGGGGAUAACUACUGGAAACGGUAGCUAAUACCGCAUAACGUCGCAAGACCAAAGAGGGGACCUUCGGGCCUCUUGCCAUCGGAUGUGCCCAGAUGGGAUUAGCUAGUAGGUGGGGUAACGGCUCACCUAGGCGACGAUCCCUAGCUGGUCUGAGAGGAUGACCAGCCACACUGGAACUGAGACACGGUCCAG
Molecule: ribosomal RNA, 223 nt
Filed under: uncultured bacterium
Lineage: Bacteria
Description: partial 16S ribosomal RNA
Rfam family: Bacterial small subunit ribosomal RNA
Source: RNAcentral